Molecule: long non-coding RNA, 2419 nt
Organism: Aethalodelphis obliquidens (Pacific white-sided dolphin)
Lineage: Eukaryota; Metazoa; Chordata; Mammalia; Artiodactyla; Delphinidae
Exons: 4
Source: RefSeq, a predicted model, not a curated record
UUGGUGGCCAUGGCGGUCUGGGCCGGGGAGGGCGCGGGCCCGGGCGGCCGGCGCUCCUGGCAGGCGGCGGCUGCACAGGUCCCGCCGCCUGAGAUUGCCUACGGCUGCUUUCCUGAUACAAUAGCAGAAUUGAGUAAUUGCAACGAACAACAGCGUAUGACGUGCAAGGCCUAAAGUUUGUGCCAUCUGGCUGUUUGCAGAAAAACUUUGACGAUCUUUGUGCUAGAGUCAAAGAUGCUUCUCACAUAUGCUUCCCCGAACUGCCUCAGAUUCCCCCUUGCUGCAACCCAAAGGCCACAGACCCCCGUUGAAUCAGAAAACUCUGGAGUUGGAAGGAGGUAUUAGUGGAUAUCCAGUGAGAUUUCCCAUCUGAGACCAGAAUCUUCCAAGGAUGCCUUCUCAAGUGAUCCCCUGACGGUGAAGGCACACCAUUGCCUGAAGGGGCCAACUCACCUUUUCUGGGAAGUUCUGGCUGUUGAAAAGUGAUUCCUUAUAUUGAGCUAAAAUCUUGUAGAAAGAAAAAUUGUUCAAGUUUUAUUAUUUUAUGAUGCCAUCUCCAGCCUUUGGAGGAGGAAGACUCCAUCAUCAGCAAGGUUGCUUCAAACCAGAAGGCAUGGAAGGAGAUAGAGGUGGAGGGAGGACAUGUGCCAUCUCUUUGGCCCAGGGUUGAAGGUUUUCCAGGUCACAGGACAGUGCACAGAUCUCCAGAGAUCAUUAGACACAAAUAAUCUGCAGAACUAGAAACAAAGGCUACAAACUCUUGCCACAGAAAAGAUGUAGAGGCACUUUUUUACAGGACAAAUUUUCCUAUUGGCAGAGAUCAUGGAAAAAACAAAGUGGUCCCAGGCUGGGGAAGAGACAGGAAAGCAUGAGAGAGAGGAAUGGAAAGCCUCAAUCUGGGACCCUGGGCCUGCAAGGAUGGACUGCCAAGUGCUAGCCAUCCACUCGUCAUCCAUCGAUUUUCUAGUCUUGAGUGGUGCUCAUCUAAGCCUGAGAUUCUGCUCAUCUCCCCUGAAUCUGUAUGUACACUGCCUUCCUCUUAGCCCUAGCAACCCACUGUUGAAUUCCCAUUUUAUUGACAGAACAGUGGAGAUUUCAGGAGGCUGAGCAUUGCCUAGAAAUUACCAGCAGGGUUGAAGCUAGAACUUAAGCCUCAUGAAUCCCUGUUGAAAACUCUUUCCAGUACCCCAUAAUAUUGCCUAAAAUCUGAUUUGUGGAUCAUAGUUAUUCAAAGUCAACACUUCUGUCCCUCAUUGUUCCUUGGGCAAUUACUUCUUCUGUGAUGAGGAAUAAACAAGAUGGUGACAGGCUCCUGAAGUUGUUUUGUCAUUUCUAACCUGGCCUUCCACUCCUGCAGCUAAAGACAGGGUUAUUUCUGGUGAAAUCCUUGCUGUAAAGUACACCAAUCAAUUUUCCUUACAAAUGGUUUCUAAUAUGUAAUUAUAUAAUCAAGCAUGCUCAUAAACAAGCCAGGCCUUGACAUAGAGUGAUGGGGUGCAGUAAUAUUUUAAAUAAAAGAUGAUCGCACAGCCAUUUAUUUUGUAGUCCAAUUUUCAGGGUUGGGAACUGUACAUUAAUGGCAGUUUCAAGAUUAGCAGCGAGCUAAAUGUGAAACUCUGUGAGUCAAUGCCUUCGACAUAAACAAAUGUACAAAAAUAGCAUCCUGCAACUGUUUGCAAAGUCUGACAGAGUUUCAGGGCUUUCUGCAAAGCAGAGGGUGCAAAGAGUACCAGAUUCAUCACAUUCUGGCAGCUAUCUGUUCAAAAACAAUGGUUUUGUCUACAAAUGGAAACUGCUAACAGCUUUCUCCAUCCAGUGCAAUCGUCUUUCCAUCUGUUUGGGUUUUAUAAUCAUGUUGCCUUUGGAAAAUUACAACACAGAGCAUAUUCUUUCGAGGUCUGUUGUUGAGCUGAAUAUUCUGGGCCAUGAAAUGGUGACAACAGUGAAGAAUUUCCCUGCAAAAGCAUUGCAACAGUUGCAUUCCCAAAAGCUACCCCUGUGCUGCAAGGCUCUGGCAGGAGUGGAGCGUCAAAUUGUGUUUAGCAGAGCACAGUUUAAAAAACAUUCACAUACACUUGAAUAGCCACAAUCUGACACUUGCACUGCUUUGGUGUAAUGGAUGCUCUUUCUCCCGCCUUUCUUCAUCUUUAUUCCUUACUCCUUUUUUUCCAUUUCCCUACCAAAAUAUAUUAUUACCUAAUGUGUGCAAAGUCAUGAGGGAUCUGGACAGCUCCUCCAGCCUGUGAUCUCAAGAAAGAACAUUAUUCCUUUGUAUCUCCUGAUCCUUUGCCUAGAGUCCAGCUCAGGGUGGGUAUUCAGUACCUAAGUGAUGAAUAAAUGAAAGAAUGAUGCUUUAUCUUUCAUGUGAUGCUUUAUACCUUAUAAAACCUUGUGUACUUUGUAAAACAUUUUCACUGAU